RNAcentral lists this ribosomal RNA (521 nucleotides) under uncultured bacterium. RNAcentral describes it as "bacterial SSU rRNA". It matches the Rfam family "Bacterial small subunit ribosomal RNA", at positions 1 to 523 of the family's 1533-position model. The record is from RNAcentral.
GGAAGAGUUUGAUCCUGGCUCAGAUUGAACGCUGGCGGCAUGCCUUACACAUGCAAGUCGAACGGUAACAGGUCUUCGGAUGCUGACGAGUGGCGAACGGGUGAGUAAUACAUCGGAACGUGCCCGAUCGUGGGGGAUAACGCAGCGAAAGCUGUGCUAAUACCGCAUACGAUCUACGGAUGAAAGCGGGGGAUCGCAAGACCUCGCGCGGACGGAGCGGCCGAUGGCAGAUUAGGUAGUUGGUGGGAUAAAAGCUUACCAAGCCGACGAUCUGUAGCUGGUCUGAGAGGACGACCAGCCACACUGGGACUGAGACACGGCCCAGACUCCUACGGGAGGCAGCAGUGGGGAAUUUUGGACAAUGGGCGCAAGCCUGAUCCAGCCAUGCCGCGUGCAGGAUGAAGGCCUUCGGGUUGUAAACUGCUUUUGUACGGAACGAAAAAGCUCUCUCUAAUACAGGGGGUGAAUGACGGUACCGUAAGAAUAAGCACCGGCUAACUACGUGCCAGCAGCCGCGGUAA